This 501-nucleotide ribosomal RNA is filed under the name uncultured bacterium. Its description in RNAcentral is "partial 16S ribosomal RNA". It matches the Rfam family "Bacterial small subunit ribosomal RNA", at positions 30 to 523 of the family's 1533-position model. The record is from RNAcentral.
AUUGAACGCUGGCGGCAGGCUUAACACAUGCAAGUCGAGCGGGGGAAGGUAGCUUGCUACCGGACCUAGCGGCGGACGGGUGAGUAAUGCUUAGGAAUCUGCCUAUUAGUGGGGGACAACAUCUCGAAAGGGAUGCUAAUACCGCAUACGUCCUACGGGAGAAAGCAGGGGAUCUUCGGACCUUGCGCUAAUAGAUGAGCCUAAGUCGGCUUAGCUAGUUGGUGGGGUAAAGGCCUACCAAGGCGACGAUCUGUAGCGGGUCUGAGAGGAUGAUCCGCCACACUGGGACUGAGACACGGCCCAGACUCCUACGGGAGGCAGCAGUGGGGAAUAUUGGACAAUGGGGGGAACCCUGAUCCAGCCAUGCCGCGUGUGUGAAGAAGGCCUUAUGGUUGUAAAGCACUUUAAGCGAGGAGGAGGCUACUUUAGUUAAUACCUGGAGAUAGCGGACGUUACUCGCAGAAUAAGCACCGGCUAACUCUGUGCCAGCCGCCGCGGUAA